Molecule: non-coding RNA, 21 nt
Filed under: Caenorhabditis elegans
Lineage: Eukaryota; Metazoa; Nematoda; Chromadorea; Rhabditida; Rhabditidae
Source: RNAcentral
UCAUUCCAUACAUUUUAACAA